GAAAAUUCAAUCGGCGCCUUCUUCUCCAACCCUACAAUCUCAUCAAAUUUCACUCUUCUUCCAUUAAUAUCAGUUUUAAGAGAUCGAGAGCUGCGAUGUUAGGUGUUUUAAGGCGCAAAGCUAUUUCUAGCGCCUCUUUUACUUCGUGUGUAAGGAAAUCUCUGCAUACGGUUCGACCUGCAGUAUGUAAAUCUAGAAUUCCAUCUGCUGCUGCAGAAGAGAUAUCAUUGCUUACUAGACAAUGUGGUCAUGUGCGAAAUUUCAAUCAGCUUGUGCUGCCUGGGUGCUCAUCAAAUUUGCGCCCAGAAAGGGCUGUGACCAAUCUUUUCUCAAGUCCAACACUAUCAAAUUGGAGCAGGCCUUUCUGCGCAAAUAGUGGUGAUACCGUUGACGCUGUUGUUCCAUAUAUGGGUGAAUCCAUUAGUGAUGGGACACUGGCCAAGUUCCUGAAGAAUGUUGGUGACAGAGUAGAAGUUGAUGAGCCAA
This 486-nucleotide unclassified non-coding RNA is filed under the name Hevea brasiliensis (rubber tree). Lineage: Eukaryota; Viridiplantae; Streptophyta; Magnoliopsida; Malpighiales; Euphorbiaceae. The record is from RNAcentral.